RNAcentral lists this ribosomal RNA (269 nucleotides) under uncultured Fusibacter sp. RNAcentral describes it as "partial 16S ribosomal RNA". It matches the Rfam family "Bacterial small subunit ribosomal RNA", at positions 1117 to 1382 of the family's 1533-position model. The record is from RNAcentral. Lineage: Bacteria; Bacillati; Bacillota; Clostridia; Eubacteriales; Fusibacteraceae.
GCAAACAGGUCAAGCUGUGCACUCUAGACAGACUGCCGUGGACAACACGGAGGAAGGUGGGGAUGACGUCAAAUCAUCAUGCCCCUUAUGAUCUGGGCUACACACGUGCUACAAUGGCCGGGUACAACGGGCAGCGAAGGAGCGAUCCGGAGCGAAAUCCUAAAAAAGCCGGUCCCAGUUCGGAUUGCAGGCUGAAACUCGCCUACAUGAAGUUGGAGUUGCUAGUAAUCGCGAAUCAGAAUGUCGCGGUGAAUGCGUUCCCGGGUCUU